This 435-nucleotide long non-coding RNA is filed under the name Homo sapiens (human). RNAcentral describes it as "HSALNT0311254". The record is from RNAcentral. Lineage: Eukaryota; Metazoa; Chordata; Mammalia; Primates; Hominidae.
UCUUACCACAGGGGCUGGAGUUAUUCAGGCGAAGGGUUCGGGUAACUGUGUCUCCUCCGGAGACCUGGGUGCCGAACCUGGAGGGGGACAGACUGGACUCAGUACAGCCACAGCCAGCGUACACCUUGCAGGCCUCCCUAUUCCUUGAGACACAACAAUAUUGAAAUUAGACCAACUGAUAACCCUACAAUAGCCUCUAAGUCUUCAAGUGAAAAGAAGAGUCGUACGUAUCUCACUUUAAAUCAAAAUGAUUAAGCUAAAAAAUGAUUAAGCUUAGUGAGGAAGGCACAUUCAAAGCUGACACAGGCAGAAAGCUAGCUUUGUGCCAAACAGACAAAUUGUGAAUGCAAAGAAAUGUAAUAUCUAGCAAAUGCCCUAUUUGUGAAAAUUUUGAAGUAAAAGAUAAUAAAGCAAAUAAAAUGUUAUGCAAACAAG